This 253-nucleotide ribosomal RNA is filed under the name uncultured bacterium. RNAcentral describes it as "partial 16S ribosomal RNA". It matches the Rfam family "Bacterial small subunit ribosomal RNA", at positions 524 to 776 of the family's 1533-position model. The record is from RNAcentral.
UACGUAGGGAGCAAGCGUUGUCCGGAAUCAUUGGGCGUAAAGCGCGCGUAGGUGGCCUCAUAAGUCCGCUGUGAAAGUCAAAGGCUCAACCUUUGAAAGCCGGUGGAUACUUUGAGGCUAGAGUACGGAAGAGGCGAGUGGAAUUCCUGGUGUAGCGGUGGAAUGCGCAGAUAUCAGGAGGAACACCAAUAGCGAAGGCAGCUCGCUGGGACGUUACUGACACUGAGGCGCGAAAGCGUGGGGAGCGAACAGG